RNAcentral lists this ribosomal RNA (337 nucleotides) under uncultured bacterium. RNAcentral describes it as "bacterial SSU rRNA". It matches the Rfam family "Bacterial small subunit ribosomal RNA", at positions 8 to 342 of the family's 1533-position model. The record is from RNAcentral.
AGAGUUUGAUCCUGGCUCAGGAUGAACGCUGGCGGCGUGCUUAACACAUGCAAGUCGAACGAUUGAAGCCCUCUUCGGAGGGUGUAUAGAGUGGCGAACGGGUGAGUAACACGUGGGGAACCUGCCCCUCUCCCUGGGACAACUCCGGGAAACCGGAGCUAAUACCGGAUACUCCUUGCGGAUCGCAUGGUCUGCUCGGGAAAGUUACGGCGGAGAGGGAUGGCCCCGCGGCCCAUUAGCUUGUUGGUGAGGUAACGGCUCACCAAGGCUGCGAUGGGUAGCCGAGCUGAGAGGCUGAUCGGCCACACUGGGACUGAGACACGGCCCAGACUCCUAC